CACUCUGAAGAUUCAAGUUGAGCCGCCAAGAAGCUGAAGCCGAAGACUCCGCGACUCUCAAAGAUUCCGAGACUCCGAGACUCUACCUGAGAUUCCGAGACUCUACCUGAGAUUCCGAGACUCUACCUGAGAUUCCGAGACUCUACCUGAGACUCAGAGACUCUACCUGAGACUCUACCUGAGACUCUGAGACUCUACCUGAGACUCUCCUUGAGGCUCAGAGACUCUACCUGAGACUCUCCCUGACACCUCUCUGAGGCCUUCUCACUCGACUCGCUCUCCCUGCUUGAGUGAAGAACCUCGCCGAGCUUCUGCACGACGGUGGAAGGAUGGAAACAUCUCCCAGUUGGCAAUACACCCAUCAACAGAAAGUUGAUCCCCAACAUCGAUAUGAAUUGGAGAGGUUUCCUCUCAUCAGCAACAACGUUGAGAAGAGUCCACAGACGAGGAUGAGAAGGAUGAGAAGCGAUCUCCCAGAGGUCCCCAGCGGAGGAACCACAUCCGCAGGAGAUGCGGAGCCAGCAGCACUCUCCAUCUCCCGUCUCGCGGGGAGCGGUGGACUCUCGUGCCAGCUUACCAGUCUUGACUUGCGCAAGGCGCAACGUUGAUGAAUCUGUGGAAGGGAAUGAACAUUUAGCUGCACGAUUCAUUAGAACCCGCCUUUUCCACUUGGCACACGCGAACCGAGCCAGCGUUGGGGGGGCUCCCACGGCCUGGGGGUGAGAGAGACAGAGAGAGAUCCCGUGUCUGUGUGUGCACGUGUCUCACCUGUGGCCGUACAUCUGCUGCACUAUUCCCGAUGGCUGCUGGUUCUCGUACAGAGGGGAAACAUCUCCCCCCCGGGGCUGGGAGACCUGUGAAGGAGACCGCCAUGAACAUCAGCUCGUCGAGAAUGCCCGAGUCAAACGCGCAAUUCGCUCACACAUCCCAAACCGAUGCUCCGGGCUUCACAGCGAACACCUUAACAUGGCUUUCAUUGCAAAUGUGUGUGUGUGUGAAUGCGUAUGUGGGUAAGUGUACAUGUGUAUGUUAUUGGGGAGCAGCAGCGUAACAGUUAGCGCGCUGCUUUAUAGACCCAGUUACCCGAGUUUGAUGCCCCUCACGGCCAACACCAGUGACCACCGAGCCUCAAAUUAGUACUUGGUGUGGUGUGUUAACAUCGCCACUCGGACACAAAAACUUGCCCCAGAAGUUUGUAAAGGCUGUACGUGGGAUCUGAGUCUUUAUUACAGUUUCAUAUGUGUUUGCAUAUGCAAGUCACUCCCUACCGAUCCCUGGCCAGUCUUCCAUUCGGCUGAUGGCACCAUGACCACUAUCUGACGCUUGCUUGAUGUAUCCCGGUCGAGGGACAGCGCACCGUGUGGCUCCAUGACUGUAGGGUCCGCGUUCACGAGUUCCUGCAGUUGGGGCAAUAGGCAAUCAGGACGCGGCCAACAUCCUUGGGUGUGGCCCCCGGUACCACCAGUGGUCCGCGACGGUCCUCCAGCUGUGAUGCAAACGCAGCUUGAACUGGAAAUAAUUACAAUGUUCAAACCUUUUGUUUUGAACAUUAAAUAAUACUUAAAACAUUCAUUUAUGGUAAACUACCCCGAUUAAACUACACUAACCCCAAGAUCUAAAUGCCCUCAAUAAAAAUAAAAACCUUUCAGCUGCAUUUAAAUAAAAAAGAAAUGUAUGUUCUGGUCAUAUUCAUCAUCCUGUAUGACUGACAUUAAGAGAGAAGUGGAAUGCGUUUUGUCACAAUAGUGAGAGGUUGGCGGGACAAAAAAGUUUGAGAAACACUACAGAGAUAUAUAUUUACCAGCUGGAGAGGCAGAGGGGUGCAAGGGUCGCUGUGGAGGGAGCCAUCAUCACUGGAAUCGAUGACCGAGGAGUCUGCCAACCACUUGGAGGACUCGGACUGUGACGGGUAGCCACUGCUGCUGUCACUGCUACUGCUGCAGUCGCUGCUGCUGCCGCUACUGCUGAUGUUGCUGUUACCGUUCCCGGUGCCAGCGAGGUGGAUGGUCAUGCUGCUGUUGCUCAUGGUCAUGCUGGUGGCCAUGGAUUCAUCCACAAGCGCGACAGGAGCAUCCCGGUCCAUUGUUGCCUGGGCGGUUGUUCCUGCGACAGAAGGACCCCAUCUGCUCGUCACUCGCGUGCUCUCGCGGUGCCCGAGAAGAUGGCAUCACAGAAGUACUUUUCGAAACCGCUUCAAUUAGAGCCUCGCUGUUCGCACUAGGGGCACUGCUUCAACACUCCUUACCUUUAAGAGUGCCACGGUGGCCAAAUGUUAACUAUCCUGCCUGGUAUAUAGGUGGUUGUGGGUUUAAUCUCGACCCUGACCCCUGUGGUAUAUAUGCAGUUUGCAUGUCUCUCCCAGUGGUCACAUAGAUUUUUCUCCGAGUCCUCCAGUUUUUCCCUCCACAUUUACAAUCAACAUCACGCGUUUAGCAACACCUGAGACCGGGCGAGUCUCUGACCACGUGCCGUACCCCCCCACCCCUGUCCCUCGCAACCACGCCAAGUUCAAUCCCCUCACCUGGUCUGCUGACCUUGUGGGACGAGUUCCUAUUGCGCCUCAAUCUGUUGCCAAAGGGCCAUUUGGACACCUUCUUGUGAUCUCCUGCUCCCGCGCUCCACUCCUUCUUUUCCUCCUCCUCCUUCAGCUUCUUGGCGGCGUUGACCGCGGCGGUGUCCCGCCACAACUCCUGGAUGAUCUUGUGCACCCUCACCUGAGUCUUACAGAGUUUAUACUGGGCCUUCAGGAGGGCCUUGUCGGCCGCCGAUCGACGCGGCCCCUUGCGACAAAAGCCGCCCCAGCAGGACGGGCUGGCCUCCUCCUCCUCCGGCAGGCCGUCGCUAGGCGAGAGGUCGCAACGCGUCGUGGUGGGAAUGUCGCCAAUAUCCGGUUGUCUGCAAACGUAGACGGAAUGCAGUUGGGGUCACAGAUGCUCGCAGGCUGUCGCGCCGACAGUCACGAGCAACUUUACAAUCACACUCGAAUCAAGUGAAAUAAUAUUUAUACUGGAGGAAUCCGAUGAGUUAUGAAGCUCUUUUUCAUAGAUGUUCAAUUGGAGGCAGGUCAGAACGCUACAACAACAAUACAAAAGCACGAUAGGAGUGCAGAGUGUAGAAAUAGGUAAACAAAUCACUUAAAAAAUGGGAAUUUGGUCAUAUAUGAAGGUCAGUGUAAAGUAAAAAAUAUGAAAAUAUGAGAACAAUAGUAUAACAAAACACAUAAAAAAACACCUUUUAGUCAUUUAUACAAAUAUGCAUUACAGUACUUGGUCAUACAGUACAGUGUACUGUAUUUAGGUCAUUGUUAAGUUAUCUCUAUAUUUCCAGCCUUUGGGUGUCAUCUGCUGGCUUUCGCGUUCUUUUCGCAAACUUUAACUUUUUACAAUAAAAAUUGUGUAUAUUUAUGGUAUUAAAAGAUAAAAUGCAUUAAUAUUAUACAGUACUGUACAUAUAUUUAAUGCAUUUAUGAGUUC
Petromyzon marinus (sea lamprey) is the source of this 3473-nucleotide long non-coding RNA. RefSeq lists it as uncharacterized. NCBI's taxonomy places the organism in Eukaryota, Metazoa, Chordata, Hyperoartia, Petromyzontiformes, Petromyzontidae. The record is from RefSeq and is a predicted model, not a curated record.